UCCCAAAUAGCUCCCGCCUGAGGAGGGGUUAGAGCAUUCCGCCUGAGGCGGAUUAAUCAGAGGGUCGCUGGUUCAAGUCCAGCUUUGGGAG
This 91-nucleotide transfer RNA is filed under the name Sediminibacterium sp. RNAcentral describes it as "tRNA-OTHER". It matches the Rfam family "tRNA". From Rfam's summary of the family: Transfer RNA (tRNA) molecules are approximately 80 nucleotides in length. Their secondary structure includes four short double-helical elements and three loops (D, anti-codon, and T loops). RNAcentral also lists the same sequence under 1 other name. Lineage: Bacteria; Pseudomonadati; Bacteroidota; Chitinophagia; Chitinophagales; Chitinophagaceae. The record is from RNAcentral.